RNAcentral lists this ribosomal RNA (390 nucleotides) under Chrysophyceae sp. RNAcentral describes it as "partial small subunit ribosomal RNA". It matches the Rfam family "Eukaryotic small subunit ribosomal RNA", at positions 582 to 975 of the family's 1831-position model. Lineage: Eukaryota; Chrysophyceae. The record is from RNAcentral.
AUUCCAGCUCCAAUAGCGUAUACUAAAGUUGUUGCAGUUAAAAAGCUCGUAGUUGAAUUUCUGGUCUUGGACAGCGGUCUGCCUCAAACGAGGUACGCACCAUCUAUCCGAGUCCAUCCUCGGGGAAAACAUGUCUGUGAUUCAGUUCAUGGGCAUGGGAUCCUCGUCAUUUACUGUGAGCAAAAUAGAGUGUCCAAAGCAGGCUUAUGCCGUUGAAUAUUUUAGCAUGGAAUAAUAAGAUAGACCUUGGUCUAUUUUGUUGGUUUGUACUCCAAGGUAAUGAUUAAUAGGGACAGUUGGGGGUAUUCGUAUUCAAUUGUCAGAGGUGAAAUUUUUGGAUUUAUUGAAGACGAACUACUGCGAAUGCAUUUACCAAGGAUGUUUUCAUCA